UGUUCAGGAUACAAAGGACAAAUACUCUCCUGCUGCGUUGAGCCUGUAUUGAUCAGCGAGUUUGGUGUCUGGUGAAGAGGCCUCUGUGCCUCUAGGCUGAGAACCCCGUGGAGUCAUCAGUCACAACAGAGGACACAACAGCAAACAGGACACAGUAAGCACCCAAACCCUCUGGAAAGGAGUGUCUCGGCUGGGCUGAAAGCACCCUGGAGAGAUGGAGAAUUGCUUGGCACCCUGCAUAUACCCCAGGCUUCUUGGAGGGUAUUUCUAUGCUGUGACAGCCUGAGGACUGUAAACACACAAGACAUCAUCCCAAGGAGAACUGAGCCACCACACUUGCUCUGACCGCCUCAGAAAAGCAUGAGCCUGCACAAAACUGAGAGGAAUAACAAUUAAGCCAUUGCCAGCGAAAAUCCUUAUUUGGCACCACAGAGCUGUUUGUUCGGAUAGUGCAAAUGUGCACCAUUAGCAGCAUGAAAGCAAGGUCGGCCCAUCAACGAGAGGAAGAACACACUGAGGUAAGCACAUGGCUGGAGUGCAGGUUGAGGCCUGCUGGCCCUGAGCCAGAGAGGCCACACAGCAACCAGGAGAUGACGAGAGUCAGUCGGAGGAGUAAGAAAGCAAGCGGAACUGUGUGUGGCUCUUUAAAGUCUGGGAAAAGUCACACUUCUUAGGAUUGACCUGACCAAUGAGAAAGGUGGAAUUUCUGUGUGGAAAAUUCCUCUGUGAGGAGUUUUAUGGCUCUUUGUGAUUAAAAUGGGCCUGGUGGGUUUGUGUCCAUUUAUACUCCGAUUAAUACAACAAACACACACUGCAUUCUAUGUGGAGGUGAGCUACAUGAAAGUGUGAGUAGUUAAAUGAGUAUUAAUUACAUAAGAGACACGAUAUGGGUAGGGUUACAUUAACUAGUAAUUCACUCAUAAAGAGUGCAUAAAACAACAUACAAAGCAAGAUACACUGUACAAGACAGUUAUAAUCACACACACAAUGUUCCUUUAUUCAACAGUUCGUCUAUAAUGCAGGAAAGUCUGAUUAAAGGACUAUGGGUUUUUCCUAUGGCCUCUGCUUUUCCACGUGACAACAUUCUUUAGAGCAAAAAAAAAAAAAAAACAUCUUAUCAGUUGGCAUCCAUGGUCACUGAGGCCUUUCUUGCCCAAGUUGGUCUUUUGGGGGAUGAGUCCACAAACCCUAGAGCGAGUUUUAAAGAUUAUUUGUUGAAUAUAACAAAUAAUUGUUUCUGAUUUGUCUGUCGUUACUUGUAUCUGAAAUAAUCUCAUCUGGUUUGGCAACAGACUGAGGGAAGUAAAUGCAAUAAGAAAUGUAUUUGUUUAUUCCAAAUAUUUAUUCCUCAGAAGUACUAAAAGAAUCAUUAAUGCCACAGUUAAGAAGCUAGAAUCAUUAAGAGGAAUCAUUAAAUUCCUUACGAUUCUCAUCCCUGGAGUUAAGAAGCCUAGCCAAAACCAUUAAUUACAAAGGCAGUGUCCACUUAAAUUUGGCGAUCAGAAACUCAGCAGAAUAUACAUAGACAUGACUUGCUGAAAAAUAGAUAAAAAUAGCAUAUCAGAACACAGACAGCUUCUGUCUUUUCAGCCAAAAUAAUUUGUGCUAUGAAUCAUCUGCGUAGCUCUCGGUGACGUCACGUGACAUGCAGCGAGGCAUACUCUUUCCUGCAGAGAGACAGAAAGUGUGGGAGAGGAAGAGACAGCGAGAGAAAGAAUCAGAGGGAGUGGGAAGAAGAGUGAUCCGAAGAAGCUUCUGCCUGACUGGCUGCACAUCCACGUGGCCCGCCUGCUUCCAUGCGCCAGCUGCACUUCUCUAAUGCUCAUCACUUAUGGAGCAGCUCUUAUCUUCCAGUUACAAUAUUAGGAGGUUGAAGGAGUGUUUGUUUGUGCUUGGCGCAUUCCAGAUGAGCUGGGUUUCUCACUGGCUCUAAGAUGCAGCAUCAAAGACUAUGCUCUGGAUUAUGCAGAGACACCCAUGGGCCUUUUUUUUUCAGCCCAGGACCCCCCUCUCUCUGUUUGUGUGUAAGUCAGUCAAACACAGACAUGAUGUUUUUUUCAGGGUGAUUAAGUAGUAGGAGCUUCUGCCCAUCUUAUAUUUAUGUGGCUUUUUUUGCCAUCCACACAGUGUCUUAACCCUUUGUAGAUUGUUUCUUUGCCAUCUUGUGCUUUCUGCAUUGUUUGUCAAGCAUGUUUGAAGAAGGAUAAUGCACCAUAAUUGAACUGACAAUGCCCCUUUUCU
Megalobrama amblycephala (Wuchang bream) is the source of this 2241-nucleotide long non-coding RNA. RefSeq lists it as uncharacterized. The record is from RefSeq and is a predicted model, not a curated record. The transcript has 4 exons. Lineage: Eukaryota; Metazoa; Chordata; Actinopteri; Cypriniformes; Xenocyprididae.